CACCCACUUCAACGAGGUGCCCGCUGCGCCCGCGACCGCCGCCCCUUCCACCGGUCGGAUUUAAAGCGGACCAAGCUCCACGCUUUAGCAGAACCCGAGGAGCGGCGGGAGCGUCGCCUGGGAGAUGAGGGUAGGGCGAGUCUAGCACUCAGGGACGGAAACGAGAGCCCAACCACCGGCACUUCCGGGGGGCGGGAGGAAACGAAGGCGCGGCACCCGACGCAACGCCCAGCAGCCAAUCAGAAGGCGGGGCGCCCAUUCAAAUUGCGGCCUUCUGGGGAGCCGGCGCUGGAGGUGGUCGGCGGCAAAGGGGUCCCCGAACGAAGGGCGCAGGACAGCGCCCUUCUCUCUGUCUUCGUCUUCGCCCUUCUCUUCGUCUCUGCUGGGACCGAGAAGGCGGACUUCAUGGCCGCUGGGCCCGCGGGCUUCUCCCCGAGUCUCCCCGAGUCGGUUGGCAUUAAGAGGCAUUCCUGUAUUCAACAUACAUGGGCUGGGCGCAGUGGCACACACCUGUAAUCCCAGCACUUUGGGAGGCCGAGUUUAGCAGAUAUUUUCAGAAACGGAUACAUAAGAAAUGGCUGGAAAUCAAAUGAAUGUCCAAAGAAGAGCUUAGGGUCUUAUUCAUUUUUAAAAUAACUGUCAUUAUUCU
This 649-nucleotide long non-coding RNA is filed under the name Macaca mulatta (Rhesus monkey). RNAcentral's name for it is "lncRNA (ENSMMUG00000051563.1)". The record is from RNAcentral. Lineage: Eukaryota; Metazoa; Chordata; Mammalia; Primates; Cercopithecidae.